GUUCCUUGAGGACAAGGAAGAUUUUAAGGGGCGGGAUAUGAUGCAUAUAUUAGUUAUAACUGCUUAGACAGUUAUAUAUAGUUGGUUUGGGUUGUUAUAACUGCUUUUGACAGUUAUAAAUAGUUAGAAACUAACCAUUCCAUGUAUGCUUUUAUUGAAUAAAUGAAAUUCUCCCUUCCUAUCUCUACUCUCUAUUCUCUCUCUCUCUCU
RNAcentral lists this long non-coding RNA (210 nucleotides) under Lathyrus oleraceus (garden pea). RNAcentral's name for it is "Pisum sativum (pea) long non-coding RNA (PSAT_LNC036665)". Lineage: Eukaryota; Viridiplantae; Streptophyta; Magnoliopsida; Fabales; Fabaceae. The record is from RNAcentral.